Long non-coding RNA from Passer montanus (Eurasian tree sparrow), 1121 nucleotides. RefSeq lists it as uncharacterized. The record is from RefSeq and is a predicted model, not a curated record. NCBI's taxonomy places the organism in Eukaryota, Metazoa, Chordata, Aves, Passeriformes, Passeridae. The transcript is spliced from 2 exons.
AGAGGCAAAAGGGCAGGUUUGUAAACCGUGUCUGAGCCAGCGUGACACUGCAGUAGGGGCACAGGACCAUGGUGAUGCUUCUGUCCAGCUGCAUCCUUCCAGGUCCCAGGGCAGCCAUGGGGCAAUGAGAAGUGGUUUGUAAACCAGGAGGGAAAGUGGUUUCCAGGCUUUCCCAAGAUUCCUCCUUGGUGAUGUCGAUGCUGCCAUGACUGUUGUCUAUUCCACCAUCCCUUAAGAGACCAGCAGCCACCAUCCACAAGCCCAAGAAGUCUGGGAAAACCACAUCCCAUGCACUGAUUUUUUUACUUUAUUUAGGAAAAAGAGAAAAGGUUAUUGUGUCACACAAAGGACAUUAGUAAAGACACCGCCAUAUUCAAACAAAAUUCUUUUAUUGAAAGUGUAAUGGAAAUUUCUUCAUAUUGCUUUGAUGAAAUGAGAGACAGCAGCUGUAGACAAAUAUGCUUUUUUUAUAAACAAAUGCAAAUGGAUAAGGUAAAAAUAAAGCAUUUUUUUAACUUGUACCUUUAAGCAACAUAAUCACAAUAUAUACACAAAGAAAGCUAAAAUAAAGCUAUGUUGAAACCAAAGUGUUUCAACCAAUACAUUAGAUAAUUACAGAUUGUGUCAAUAAAUACCCAGUUUUUAAACUGUUUAACAGGCAACUUUUUACACAGAUACCGAGAAGAAAAAAAAAUUAUAUAUUUACAAUUCAGUGCCCUGGGGGGAAAAAAAAAAGAGAAAAAAAUAUUUUUUUUCUUUUUUGGCACCAACACAAAUAAAAAGAAUAAAUUACUGAAAAAAAUCCACAAGGCAGGAGUCAAUCCCAAUAAUUCAUUUUAAAAAAGUAUGUGUGUGUGUGUAUAUAUAUAUAUAUAUAUAAAAUAUAGGCAUAUAUUUUAUAUAUAUAUAAAUAUAUAUGCAGAGAAACCUAGGAAUGUUACAAAAUACAUUAGUGCCAAUAAAUACAGAACGCUACCAGACUUUCAACUGUCAGUAUUUUUGAUGCAGUCUGAAGGAUGAGGAACUACCACCUAGGAGAUAACCGAAAAGGGGAUUUUUCAGUCUAAAGAAACAAUGACGACAAUGAAAAAUAAUAAUAAUAAUAAAAAUAAUAAUAAUAA